Gossypium arboreum is the source of this 227-nucleotide long non-coding RNA. RefSeq lists it as uncharacterized. The record is from RefSeq and is a predicted model, not a curated record. The transcript is spliced from 3 exons. NCBI's taxonomy places the organism in Eukaryota, Viridiplantae, Streptophyta, Magnoliopsida, Malvales, Malvaceae.
UUUGCGCUGUUUCCUAACAAAUCAAUUCGUGGCUUAGCGGUUCUGGAGUGUUCGGAGUUCGGUUUAGCUUCAAACAAGACCAGGUAAUCCCCAGCAGUAAGCGGAUUGGAAACCACGACUAUCUACUCAUGAGUUUUAUAUUUAUAACGCCUAUGUUAUUUUAUUAUUUUUGGGAUAUUUAUUGAUUAUGGACUGGAACUUUUGGUUUUAAUUUACGUUUUUGAACU